This 563-nucleotide ribosomal RNA is filed under the name uncultured beta proteobacterium. Its description in RNAcentral is "bacterial SSU rRNA". It matches the Rfam family "Bacterial small subunit ribosomal RNA", at positions 338 to 894 of the family's 1533-position model. Lineage: Bacteria; Pseudomonadati; Pseudomonadota; Betaproteobacteria. The record is from RNAcentral.
CCUACGGGAGGCAGCAGUGGGGAAUUUUGGACAAUGGACGCAAGUCUGAUCCAGCCAUUCCGCGUGCAGGACGAAGGCCUUCGGGUUGUAAACUGCUUUUGUACGGAACGAAAAAGCUCUUAUUAAUACUAGGAGUCCAUGACGGUACCGUAAGAAUAAGCACCGGCUAACUACGUGCCAGCAGCCGCGGUAAUACGUAGGGUGCAAGCGUUAAUCGGAAUUACUGGGCGUAAAGCGUGCGCAGGCGGUUAUAUAAGACAGAUGUGAAAUCCCCGAGCUUAACUUGGGAACUGCAUUUGUGACUGUAUAGCUAGAGUACGGCAGAGGGGGAUGGAAUUCCGCGUGUAGCAGUGAAAUGCGUAGAUAUGCGGAGGAACACCGAUGGCGAAGGCAAUCCCCUGGGCCUGUACUGACGCUCAUGCACGAAAGCGUGGGGAGCAAACAGGAUUAGAUACCCUGGUAGUCCACGCCCUAAACGAUGUCAACUGGUUGUUGGGUCUUCACUGACUCAGUAACGAAGCUAACGCGUGAAGUUGACCGCCUGGGGAGUACGGCCGCAAGGU